GGGCCCGCACAAGCAGCGGAGCAUGUUGCUUAAUUCGAGGCAACGCGAAGAACCUUACCUGGGUUUGACAUGUAKGGAAAAGCCGUAGAGAUACGGUGUCCUUUUGGGCCCUACACAGGUGGUGCA
This 126-nucleotide ribosomal RNA is filed under the name uncultured bacterium. Its description in RNAcentral is "partial 16S ribosomal RNA". It matches the Rfam family "Bacterial small subunit ribosomal RNA", at positions 917 to 1045 of the family's 1533-position model. The record is from RNAcentral.